CUCUCGUAUAAAUGUCAGUUUGCUUUACUCUUAAAUUAUUGCCAGAGGUAUUCAGAAAACAGACACAAAAUGUAAGUCUUUAUUAUUACAACUUAAUUGAUCUGAAAGCUUCUUUUUAUUUACUUGAUUUUUCGUUUUAUUUUUGCUCCCUACACGUAUCAAUUGAGUUGAAAUAGUCGAUAUAUUUAACAUUAUAAUUAUUGAGAUUUUGUGAAAAUGGAUUUACAACCAUGCAUUUCAAUUUGAAUGCAUAGAAAUGUUUAGUAUUUAUUAAUUAUAUUAUUUUGUCAAGUAAAGAUGGUUUAAUUUCUUUACAAUACGUUUUUUAUUAAUAUGUUUAAAAAUAAAAAUUGUUUCUAAAAUACAAAAUUUACAACAUUUAUUGCUAAACUUUUUUAUUCGGUAUAUUUUAUUGGACCUGUGUUGAAGGACGCAGUGUAAUAGGGCGAGCCAAGAUCUUUGAAAAUCAUUUAAUAAGAUGGAAAAGUUAUUUUAUAAUUCAUGCAGAUGUUUUUUUUCGUUAUUUCUAUAACAUUUUUUAACAUUUAAAUUUUAGUAAAUAAAAUGUUCUUUUUACUACUUUUUUUGUAAAAUCUUUUAACACUGAUAAAAAGAAUGUUUCUUUCAAGUUGAGAACCUCCGCUCCUUUAAUUCCAUUCUUUGCAAUGUUGACUGUAUGUUUUAUAUCAAAAGUUGAUUACGUUUACAAAUAUAAAUUAAAAAAAUAAAUGUUUUGACUUAUCGAAGUGACAAAAAUUUGGCGACUUUAUGAACUUCAAGGCAUUUUUACAAGGUGCGUGUUUUUAUUUUUAAAAACGUUUUAUAUGUUAUAGUCAUUAAUAAAAGGAGAUUCGACGUGCACAUAAGUUGGCGAGAAACGUUUUACCACAGAGAAAUAAAAACAACAGUUAGAUACUUUACAUAUAUCUUAACCCGAAAUACAGAUCUAGAUGUAUUGAUAUUAAUUUCUAUCCGACUCAACUCAUUUGUUAUAAAACAAAAUGACGAUAACCACAGAGACUAUAUAGAACAUAGUGCGUUGCAAACACACAUUGAAUAAUUGAUUGCCGCUUACUUAGAACUAAUUGCAAUUAUUUCGGAACGAAAAUUUAACAGUUAAUACAAAAAGUAGAUUAAAAGAGGGACGAAAGAUACCAAAGGGACAGUCAAACUCAUAAAUCUAAAACAAACUGACAACGCCAUGGCUAAAAAUGAAAAAGACAAAACAGAAAACAAUAGUACACAUGACAGAACAUAGAAAACUAAAGAAUAAACAACACGAACCCCACCAAAAACUAAGGGUGAUCUCAGGUGCUCCGGAAUGGUAAGCAGAUCCUGCUCCAGAUGUGGCACCCGUCGUGUUGCUUAUGUGAUUACAAAUCCGGUAAAUAGUCUAAUUCGGUAGGUCACAUUCAUGAAAGGGAAGGGGAUUGUAGUUACGACGUAAGGAACAUAUCCGAUAUCAUUUGUGAAACGGUUAUUCCAUAGAUUACAUGUAUGCAAGGUAGAACGAUAGGGAAUUGCCACUGGGAACAAAGCUACAAACCAUCAUAGAGUAUUUAUUGUACAAAAGGUAUCAACUUUAAAGAACCGAUUGACAUGUGUUAUUAUAAAAACAUCACGAAAUCGGCAUGUUUAGAAAACAAUAUGUCUCUUAUGAAAAAAACAAAUUGAAGGUUUAUCAAAAGAAUGAAAAACAUGCAAUCUAAUGAAAUAUUUGUUAUUUUCAGGAUAAGAUUGUUUAUUUUCGUUUUGUUGGUCAGCGUUUACAGCUGUGUCCAUGCAAGUCCUGGGUCAGAUUUUUUAGGAAUCCUCGCUUGGACAAAUGGAGUUGACCUUGAAACAGUUCACACUCGCGAAGAAGCAUGCCAAUACAAAGAAGGUACAGAUUUCAACUUAGAAGAUUGCAUAAACGCAGUAAUUGAUAAGGUUUGUUCCGGGAAUUGCAACGGAAGAGGUCGGGAUGUUGUUUCAGCUGUUAUCUGGCAAGCCGUGUUGCAAGCCUCGGCUGAUGAUUUUUGUGCAAAAGCAGAAGAUGAAGAGGGUUGCGUCUGGCUGUUAUCUGAAUCAAAAGAUUGCGAGGACAAACGAUCGUUUAAUAUCAAAAAGUCUUCUGGAUCAGGACACGAUCUUCCACAGCUGCCACCAAAACCCAGUGAGAAGAGGAGCUUGAAUUUCGACAACUUGAAAAAUGCUCUCAAGUCAAACAGAGGUAGAAGUGGUUUAUUAAGGAAAAUGCUGAAUAUCAAAAAAUAACAUUGACGAGACUAUAGUGGACCCUGACGACCAAUAAACUGCGACACGGACAAUGAUUGUAUUGAUUGUAAUAAUAUUUUGGGGGACAUUUUGAAGGGGACUACAAAAAUACAGGGCUACUUUUGAUAACUGUAUGUGAUUUUAAAUUAAAAUGAAAUAGUUUUAAAGGCAUUUGUUUAAUUUAGUGUUUUUUAAGUUGAGAGAACAUGUAUUUUUAACAUGUUCAAUUGUGACGAAAAACUACAACAAACACACAAAAUGUAAAAAAAUCAUUAGCGUAGAAACGAACAAAAUCGAUUGGUUAUCUAUAUGAGAUGUGUAUAGUUUUGACAUUGAGUAUCAUUAAACAAUUGAAGAAGGUGAUAUGAUAUUUUCUUCAAAUUUUAACUGAUGCCUGAUACAAAAACUGUUAAUUUCAUAUUUGCUGAAUACAAAAAUAAAUGAGUGAAAACAUUAAGCUGAGAACUCGAG
This 2727-nucleotide long non-coding RNA is filed under the name Mytilus galloprovincialis (Mediterranean mussel). Lineage: Eukaryota; Metazoa; Mollusca; Bivalvia; Mytilida; Mytilidae. The record is from RNAcentral.